ACGGAAGAUCCAAGCGUUAUCCGGAUUUAUUGGGUUUAAAGGGAGCGUAGGCGGAAGUUCAAGUCAGUUGUGAAAGUCUGUGGCUUAACCAUAGAAUUGCAAUUGAAACUGAAUUUCUUGAGUGUAGAUAAGGAUGGUGGAAUUUGUGGUGUAGCGGUGAAAUGCUUAGAUAUCACGAAGAACUCCAAUUGCGAAGGCAGCCAUCCGGGCUACAACUGACGCUGAGGCUCGAAAGUGCGGGAAUCAAACAG
This 251-nucleotide ribosomal RNA is filed under the name uncultured prokaryote. RNAcentral's name for it is "partial 16S rRNA". It matches the Rfam family "Bacterial small subunit ribosomal RNA", at positions 525 to 775 of the family's 1533-position model. The record is from RNAcentral.